AUUAUUAUUAUUAUUAUUGAAUAAAGUCAAUUUUGAAAUUAAACAGUUUAAUAUCUGAUACGUCCCUUAUCUAGGGACCAUAUAUUAAAUUGAUUUUUGGAACGGAGAUGGAAUAGGGGCUUUCUCCGUCCACUCCACGCAUCAACCCAGUAUUGCCGUGCCUCUGGGAACGGUGCACUUCCC
Molecule: small nuclear RNA, 183 nt
Organism: Amblyraja radiata (thorny skate)
Lineage: Eukaryota; Metazoa; Chordata; Chondrichthyes; Rajiformes; Rajidae
Product: U2 spliceosomal RNA
Exons: 1
Source: RefSeq, a predicted model, not a curated record